UACCACCUGAGUCGAUUUCCAUUCGGACUUCACAACGCGACCACUAGUUAUCAGGCUGCCCUCUCCAGAUCACAAUCCGAUACGGAUAUUAUCUAGGAACUCGACUACUACUCGGACCUAGACGAGAAGACUCCUUUAUCAGGUCUAGAGCAUGGUCUGGUAAUCACAUAAACUCCCCAAGGUAGAUUUGUCUACUCGCCCAACAUGAAGCCA
RNAcentral lists this long non-coding RNA (213 nucleotides) under Setaria viridis. Its description in RNAcentral is "long non-coding RNA (SVIR_LNC005763)". The record is from RNAcentral. Lineage: Eukaryota; Viridiplantae; Streptophyta; Magnoliopsida; Poales; Poaceae.